This is a long non-coding RNA of Chroicocephalus ridibundus (black-headed gull), 2297 nucleotides long. RefSeq lists it as uncharacterized. The transcript is spliced from 3 exons. Lineage: Eukaryota; Metazoa; Chordata; Aves; Charadriiformes; Laridae. The record is from RefSeq and is a predicted model, not a curated record.
CAGUGAUAUCUUACUUGUUGGUUCUUCAUAAACUUCAGAAGGUCUGGUGUGGUUUUUUUUCUAGCCCUGUAAUAGGAAAGUUUCUGGAUUUUUUUUUUUAAGAGGUGGAAAAAAGAGAAGAUAGUUUCCAACAUCACUUCAGGUCAAAGCAAUCCUGUUCCAUGGACUGCUAUGAAGCCAGGGGCACAAGAAUUUCAGGGACAACAGCAUCCUAGAAAUACUUGAGCUGCUCAUCUUCAAUUUGUAGUUAAAAAUAGAAAACAAGGUGCAAUGUUAAUUGCAUUCUAUCUCACAGAUGAUUGCGGUCCUACAGACUGGGUGUGUUGAACUUCCUGAGAAGAAAUCAGAGGAUUCAUCAACAGUUAUUAACCUAAACGUCUCUCGCUGAAGUGACUUAACAGCCAGUUUGGAGUCGUUUCAGCUGUCUGGAAAGAAGAGAGCGGACGUGGCAUUUUGGGAACGCUGGCUUUUAGCCACAGAGCAGGAACAGAAGAAAUUAAUGAGAGAUUAAAAAGAAACAAAGUGACCUUCAAAUACUUUUCCAAUCAGCAGAAACACCCUGCGUGCGUCCUUCUGAAACUGCUGCUAGAAUUUCUGUGCUGUCUUACCAGAUUUAAACAGAAACUUACUUCCAGCAAACAUAGUAUGACUAAUUUCAUAAAGUCAACUGGAGACACCACCCAUUAGAGAAGGCACCUUUUAAUGUCAGGUUUGUGAUUUAUGUACCUGUUUUGGGGGCACAGGAGCAGAAUCUGAAAGUACCCUGUCUGACUCCGGAGGUAUGAUAAUCAGACUGGGUGCCGGACGCGCGCUGUUAUACAUAGCUAUCUAAUCAGGUUGACGCGUGAAAAAUAGCCAUGUACGAUGAUGUAUAUUCCUUGUUCCCUUACCCAGGGAAGCAAACUAAGUUAUGAGGUUAGCGUAACAAGCGAAAAAAGGUAUACAUUGACCUUUCCAUACAACUGUUUUAGAAGGCACUAUUUGUUAACUGCCACUGGGAUUGAGUGCUCCCGAGCGUGCUAAGCCUUGCCAGCCCACUGGAUUCACUUCCCCGGAUCAGAGGCUGAACAUGACAAAUAUGCCUAUCAAUGUAUUCCUUGGAGCUACAUGUGUUUCUGUAUUUUCAGGAUCAGCAAGCUUGUUAAGUAAAAAGUUAUGGGAAGUAUGUACGCAGGAUGUUGUAACAAACUAUCGUUGCAAUAUAAGGUUGAAUGUUUCAUUUAUUUAUUCAUUUGGGGGAGAAGAGAGGACAAUUUAUAUUUUAAACAGCUCAGCUAUAAAUAUACCGUUGCGCCAAGACAAAUGGUUAAAACAUCGGUUAUAAAUUUUAUUUUGGCAUUGCAGUAGAUUGUGUAUAUUCUUUCCUGAAUGUAUGUGUGAAUUAGCAUUUUUAUAUAUUCAUAAUGUGACCUUUAGGUUUUAAACUUUCUUUAGCAAAUAGUCCCCCUGGAAUCUGUGAGGUCUGUGACAUCUGUCCCCUACAAUUUAAUCCAGUAUUUUGUGCAGUCUUAGAAAUUCUAAUCCACCAUCUUUUUAAAUUUUCUGUCAAUGCUCCUUCAACAUCAAAACUUUUUUUUUCUUUUUAAACACACUUGUCAAAUAGGGAACUACUGUUGCUUAUUUAAAAAAAGAAUUUUACCCUGGGAGGGAGUAAGGGGUGAAUCAAACAAAAACCUUUUUUUGUUUGUUUUUUUUUUUCUGUUUUUUUUCCUUUUCCAGGUUGAUUUGGCAGUGCGCUGUUUUGAUGUGCACAUGGUUGUGUCCUCUUUUGUUUGUCUUCUGUUGGCUGGGAUGGAUGGAGUAAAUCCCCAGCCUUAUACACGACCCCACCAGUACUCCCCACUGAGCUGCACUGUUGUGCUUCAGAAAGUGAAGUGCGCUUUUCACAGAAUAUAUACUAAUGAAAACAGGUAGCUGGACUGGACAUUAAUUUCCUUACUGCGUGUCAUAAAUCUGUCACAGAAAGAUAACUGGGCUAACAUUUAUCUUUAGUGAUCUUUGUUUUUACAUUAAACAUAUUAAUAAAAAUAAUGGAGCUUAAACUGAGCUUCAUUUCAGGGUCCGUCAAACGAUCAAAUGGGAAUGAAAUGAAUAGAAGGGUGAUGGUGGGGGGUGUUUUGUUUUGUUUAAAAAACACAAACAAACAAACAACAAAAAACUCCCCUAAUAUAAAAAUCUUUAUUAUACUAAAGAUGUGGUUUAGGAAUCUUGUUCUUUGUGUUACAUGUGAAACACAUUUGAAAGGUCACAUGUAUUACUGAUGAGCUCAUUGUUUAUCAUUAAAAAUAUUUGUCAAA